UGGGGGAAUUUUGGACAAUGGGCGAAAGCCUGAUCCAGCAAUGCCGCGUGUGUGAAGAAGGCCUUCGGGUUGUAAAGCACUUUUGUCCGGAAAGAAAUCCUUGGCUCUAAUACAGUCGGGGGAUGACGGUACCGGAAGAAUAAGCACCGGCUAACUACGUGCCAGCAGCCGCGGUAAUACGUAGGGUGCAAGCGUUAAUCGGAAUUACUGGGCGUAAAGCGUGCGCAGGCGGUUUGCUAAGACCGAUGUGAAAUCCCCGGGCUCAAACCUGGGGAACUGCAUUGGUGGCUGGCAGGUAGAGUAUGGCAGAGGGGGGUAGAAUUCCACGUGUAGCAGUGAAAUGCGUAGAGAUGUGGAGGAAUACCGAUGGCGAAGGCAGCCCCUGGGCCAAUACUGACGCUCAUGCACGAAAGCGUGGGGAGCAAACAGGAUUAGAUACCCU
RNAcentral lists this ribosomal RNA (442 nucleotides) under uncultured bacterium. RNAcentral's name for it is "partial 16S ribosomal RNA". It matches the Rfam family "Bacterial small subunit ribosomal RNA", at positions 354 to 788 of the family's 1533-position model. The record is from RNAcentral.